GCAUUUGCUGCUGUCACUUAUGCAAACCUUAUCCUAACUUCUGUGUCGUGUCGACUUGCUGCUCAACACUCCGAGACUUGUGAGCCCCAAAAUGUAGUUUCCUGAUCCAGAUGCUGUGCUUCUCUUCUGAGUAAUGGUCCAGCAGGCAGGAUGCUGGGGACGGCACGGCCAACACAGAACUCUGCUGGAGCAUUGAGCAGGCUGCAGACUCAGAAAACACACCUGAAAAGUAUUUGUCUGCAGUAUCUGCUUCUGAACAGCCAUUGCUUUUGCCUUUUAAAGAAUGGGAUGGGACUAAUCAUCUUCUUCCUAUGUGCCUAUGUACCAAAGACAGAAGCAAGUCAUUGCAAGUGGGCAGAAGUUCUGAAAGAUUUGGAAAGGAUCAAGACGUCCAAAGAUAUUGAUGUCAGUUUAUACACUGCAAAUGCAGAUGAGGAUCUCUCACAGCCCAUCUCUGCAGAUAUUCAGAUGUAUUUGAAUAAUAAGAAAAGAUGCCCAGAAGAAUGCCAAGAACUUGUAUUGAGGUGCUUUUUCUUAGAGACAGAAGUGAUAAUUCAAGAAUGUCGUAUCAAAAAUUGUAGUAAAACACAGGAUGUGUGGAACAUAUGGAAAAAUGGAAAUGAAAGCUUUGAAAAUAAUAAGUUGACUUCCACAAAAUCAGAAAAAUGCAAAGAGUGUGAAGAAUACGAAGAAAAAAAUUUUACAGAAUUUGUACAAAAUUUUGAAAAGGUUAUACAAAGGGAUUGCAAACACUGACCAAAAGACAUAAGCUGGGAAACAAGAUUCUUAGAUGAACACCCUCAGAGAAAUUAAAUUAUCACCAAAAAUAAAACAGAAAAAAAAAAUCUACAAUCUUCUUGGCUAUCUCUUAUUAUAUCUGUUUCUAUUGUGGUUUUCAGGCACCUCCAUUUCUCUAUCUUCAGCUGAUAAAUGGCUGAGUCAUUCAGCUGUCCACUUACCGGGAAGGAAGUUUCAAUCUCAUUAUGGCAACAAACACGCUGCCUGCUCUUCUCUUUUAUUGUUGGGAUGCUCCCAACAGUCAGCCUUUAGCACUCUGAGGAGAUGAAUCCCCAGUAAACUGCAAGAGGAAGAACAUAAAUAUGAGCAUGUGGGAUGUCAUCUUCGGGGGGACUUGUAGACAAACAGGUUGGUAAAUUCAUGAGCGCAUUGAUAUCAGCGUUUAUCACUGGUAGAAAUAUCACAAAAAAGAAACAAAUUAUUUGCCAACAUGAAACAUCAAAACCAGAAGUGUUUAUUACAUAGUUUGCAUGAAAUAAAAUGGUCCUACAUUUUAAAUUUUUCCUUAAUUCGUUGGUAGGUACUGAGUAUGAUUUUUCCUUACCUGAUGUCAUGUGCACAGGAAAGGUAACACCAAGUUACAGCUUUGGUCUUUAGUCAAAGAGGUAAAGGGACUUUCCUUAUUUCUGGCUUUGAGAGGGGGGCAGUAUACCCAUGAUGGGAGAAUCAAAGAGCUGCUUUGCUCAGAAUUUUCUUUAUCUUGACCAUUUUGAAAAUAAAUUUCCUGAUUUUAUUUUGCUUUUCAUUAACUCAUUUACCAGC
Molecule: RNA transcript, 1560 nt
Organism: Vidua macroura (Pin-tailed whydah)
Lineage: Eukaryota; Metazoa; Chordata; Aves; Passeriformes; Viduidae
Gene: IL15
Gene name: interleukin 15
Exons: 9
Source: RefSeq, a predicted model, not a curated record